This 932-nucleotide non-coding RNA is filed under the name Fritziana fissilis (split-backed frog). RNAcentral describes it as "partial 12S ribosomal RNA". It matches the Rfam family "Bacterial small subunit ribosomal RNA". The record is from RNAcentral. Lineage: Eukaryota; Metazoa; Chordata; Amphibia; Anura; Hemiphractidae.
CAAAGGUUUGGUCCUGGCCUUAAGAUCACUUGUUACUCAACACACACAUGCAAGUCUCCGCACCCCCGUGAGAACGCCCUUAAACUCCUACCCAGGAAUAAGGAGCCGGCAUCAGGCACAACAAUUUGCCCAAGACGCCUAGCCAUGCCACCCCCACACGGGACUUCAGCAGUGAUUAAUAUUGAAUAUUAGCGACAGCUUGAUUCAGUCAGAGUAAAAAGAGCCGGCCAAUCUGGUGCCAGCCGCCGCGGUUACACCACGUGGCUCAAAUUGAUCCCCAUCGGCGUAAAGCGUGAUUUAAGUAACUACCCCAUUAGAGUUAAACUUGAGCUAAGCUGUGAUACGCUUGCACACAAGAAACCCGGAAGCGAAAGCCACUCUAACCCUACCCACUUGAACUCACGACAGCUGGGGCACAAACUGGGAUUAGAUACCCCACUAUGCCCAGCCGUAAACUUUCAAUUACAUCCGAACCGCCUGGGAACUACGAGCAAAGCUUAAAACCCAAAGGACUUGACGGUCCCCCACAUCCCCCUAGAGGAGCCUGUCCUUUAAUCGAUAACCCCCGUUUAACCUCACCAUCUUUAGCCUAUCAGCCUGUAUACCUCCGUCGUCAGCUUACCCCGUGAGCGAACAUCAGUAAGCUUAAUGCCCAAUGCCAAUACGUCAGGUCAAGGUGCAGCAAAUAAGAUGGGAAGAGAUGGGCUACACUUUCUAAACUAGAAGAUACGAAAGACUACAUAUGAAAUCUAGUCAGAAGGCGGAUUUAGUAGUAAGAAGGAAUUAGAGUGCCCUUCUUAACCUGGCACUGGGGCGCGUACACACCGCCCGUCACCCUCUUCAAAGCCAAAUGACAGUUCUUAACGCACGCCCGCGCCACAGAAGAGGCAAGUCGUAACAUGGUAAGUAUACCGGAAGGUGUGCUUGGCAAU